RNAcentral lists this non-coding RNA (109 nucleotides) under pig gut metagenome. RNAcentral's name for it is "FMN riboswitch (RFN element)". It matches the Rfam family "FMN riboswitch aptamer (RFN element)". From Rfam's summary of the family: The RFN element is a highly conserved domain that is found frequently in the 5'-untranslated regions of prokaryotic mRNAs that encode for flavin mononucleotide (FMN) biosynthesis and transport proteins. This element is a metabolite-dependent riboswitch that directly binds FMN in the absence of proteins. In Bacillus subtilis, the riboswitch most likely controls gene expression by causing premature transcription termination within the 5' untranslated region of the ribDEAHT operon and precluding access to the ribosome-binding site of ypaA mRNA. The record is from RNAcentral.
CUCUUCAGGGCAGGGUGUAAUUCCCGACCGGCGGUAAAGUCCGCGAGCCGUUUUUGGCAUGACCCGGUGCAACUCCGGGACCGACAGUAAAGUCUGGAUGUGAGAAGGU